CUGGAGAACCCUGACUAAUACAGAGGCUCACCUCCCAAAUAAACUACUUGCAUGAGAAUCCUUAUCUCAGACUGUGCUUCCGGGCAAACAAAACUAAGACAGUAGAAUUCUAUUUGUAUGUGAUUAAACAUAAGUAGAAUGGCAAUAUAUUGUUAAGAGUAGGUAGAAUAGGUAGGUAAGGGUACAAAAGCUAGAGCAGACUGCCUUGGUUUGAAACCAGGGUUUACAAUUAACUAGCUGUGUGACUUUGAGCAAGUCACUUAACCUCUCUGUGCCUCAGUUUUCUCAUCUGCUGAAUGCAGAUGAUAACAAUAUUCACCUUUACUGUUGUUGUGAGGAUUAGAGUUAAAAUAUGUAAGGAAUUUAGAAUAGUGACUUACAUAGAGGAAGCACUCAAAGAAUGUUAGCUAUUAUUAUUAUUAAAGAUGUAUACAUUUACAAUAAAACCAUACGGGAAAUGUUAAAAACGAAAUUCAGAAAAAUGGUUACUUUUGGAAGGGCAGGAGCUUGAUGGGUUCACAGAGGGGUAUAUGAGGGUCUCAAAGGUAUUAGUCAUGUCCUGUGUUUUAAGUUGAGUAAUGGAUAUAUUUCUGUUGUUUUAUUAUUAUGCUCUAUAACUUACAUAUAAAUUACAUCUUUUUAAAUAUCUAUCAAAUAUUGCAUAAUUUUUAGAAGUCUAAAAAAAAAACAAUCUCCACCAAAUAUAUUCAAAGUUUUGUAUCCUUCACGAUCUUGGGGUCCUCUGCUUCAGCUCCAGUCAGCCCCCCACUGUCUUCCAGUAUUCCCCAUAGGCACCAGCCUCUUGGACCCACUCAGGGUGGCCCCUUCGAGGAAAGUGCCCAGGACACCUAUACCUUGCAAGGCUUCGGGGGCCCAGCCCAAAUCACAUGAUCCUUCUGGAGACACUGAGCAAUCUUGUACUGUUAUCUAUAAAAAUAUAUUGGUUUUUAAAAUUUUCUUUCCUUUUAAUGAGCACUGCACUUAAAACAUCAAACAAUUACUACAUGUUUAUUUUAGGAAAAAAGGAUAUUUGUGCAAAAGAAAAAAGUAUGCUCACAAGAUCCUCUCUCAGCUAUAACCACUGUUAAUAUCUUGAUGUAUAUCCUUUCGGAUUUUAUAUUAUACAUUUUAAAACAAAAUUACAUUUUAAAGAAAUGCUAUUAAGUGAUAUCCUUAACAUACCGGGACCAUUUUUCUCUUUUGCUUUUUUCAAUUAGACUCUCUCGUAGGAAGAAACAGCAGAGACGCUUCUGCUGCGAGGUCAGCAGAAGGAGGAAGAGUUUCCUGUAAGGACGCCCAGCACUAAGGAACACAGGGACCCAUGACACUCCUCGGAAGGGAAGCCAAGAACGAGCUCACGGAGCGAGCGGGACGCUCCGGGGAGGCUGGCGGCGGAGCUCGAGGUCUCCCGGUCAACAUUACAUGGUCAUCAGAAGUGGGAUCCAGAGAAAACCCCCAACAACUCUGAGGCUGGUGAGCAAAUAGGUACUAGUACCCACAGAGCCAUUGAGCUUUCUGCUUUCUUGCCGACCCUGGAGUUUGGGUGACAAGGUCCGCUUCUGCUGUUGGUCCCCUCCUGAUGAGAGGCUGUAAGAGGUUUUUCCCUAGUUUUCUGUUAUAUCAAAAUUAUUUCCUGUGCUUUAUUUUAAAGAUUUUAUUUUUUCCUUUUUCUCCCCAAAGCCCCCCUGUACACAGUUGUAUAUUCUUCAU
Molecule: non-coding RNA, 1710 nt
Organism: Equus caballus (horse)
Lineage: Eukaryota; Metazoa; Chordata; Mammalia; Perissodactyla; Equidae
Source: RefSeq, a predicted model, not a curated record